GUUAUGAACACAGUUCAUUUGAUUUGCUCAGGCGAAGGGUACGAGCCUCGUCUUCCCCAAUUGUUGCUUCGAUUUCACCAAUUCUACUCAACCGCCUCCAUUCGAUGCAAAACAUGCCUGCAAUUUUCCUGAGAUCGCGCAUCAGAUCUUCUUCGCAUUCUCCAAAUUGCGCAUUGCGAACCUUCUCCAUUCGCUCUCUGUUCAGUUCCGCCACUCCAUCGACAUCCCAGUAUGAAGUCCCGAAACCCUCUCGCAUUCGCAGCUGUGGCUUCGUCGCUGGUUCCUGUUCACGGUUGGGUGCAGGUUGGGUGCGUCAUUUGGAGGAGGCAUUGGGGAAAAGCAGCUGCCCGGUGCGUUUCGGGGGCUUGCGACUGUUCGCUGCACAACCCACCAUCGAACCCGCGACCUCCGAUGGCCUGACGGUGGAGGGAAUCAUUUCCAAUCAGUGGACGAUCCUCGAAGAGAGCGAGAGCGAUUGGAAGAGCCAUGCCGCCGCCAUCGCUCAGUCCAUAAGCUUAAUCAAGCGGCGCUUGCAGUGGAAGAAAAUGUUGGUGAGGUUGGAGCUGUUGUCAACACAAUUGGAUAAGCUGGACCUUUGGGAUGAUCCUCAACAUGCUGGAAAAAUAAGCCGUGAACAUGGUAACCUCAUGGGUAAGAUGAAGGAGGUGAUGGAAUUCGAACAGGAGUUGCUUGAGCAUAUUGACAUGAUAAAGCUUGCUCGGGAAGAUAAUGAUGCCGACUUGGAAUCGGAAUCAUUGAAAGCUUUGCUCAGGAUGAGAAGAUUUUCAAAAGAGAAAGAGCUUGAAGCUUUGUUAGCUGGAGAGCAUGAUUCUUGCUCUUGUUUCAUAGAGGUGCAAGCAGGAGCUGGGGGCACUGAGAGCAUGGAUUGGGCUGCAAUGGUUAUGAAUAUGUACAAAAUGUGGGCUCAACACCGAGGAUACGGAGUAACUGUGGUGGAUGAAAUGCCUGGUGAGAUUGCGGGAAUCAAGCGAGCAACAAUUAAAGUGGAUGGUGAAUAUGCAUUUGGAUACGCCAAGGCUGAAGUAGGUGUGCAUAGGUUGGUACGAAUCUCACCAUUCGACAGUAACAAACGGCGACAUACUUCAUUUGCUGCUGUUGCUGUAAUUCCAAUCUUGGGUGAGGGGUUUUCCCAUGUGCAAAUAAAUGAAUCUGAUCUUCGAAUUGAGAGAUUUCGAGCUGGGGGAGCUGGCGGACAGCAUGUUAACACAACCGAGAGUGCUGUGAGAAUAGUUCACAUUCCUACUGGAGUAACUGCGACUUGCCAAAAUGAGAGAUCACAACAUCAAAACAAGGCUUCAGCAAUGGCGGUGCUCCAGUCUCGGUUGGACCAGCUUGAGAUGGCCCGACAGGCUCAGAUGAAUGCACAACAUACACAAUCUCUUACAGAGAUAAGUUGGGGCAACCAAAUUCGUUCCUAUGUCCUUCACCCUUACCGGAUGGUCAAGGAUCUCCGGACUAACUAUGAGGUUUCUGACCCUGAUUCCGUCCUAGAGGGAGAUCUGGAUGGGUUCAUCUUGAGCUACUUGUCAGACUUGAUGGACAAAGAUGAAGCCAGCCCAUGAAUCUAUCUAAUUGGUUCUCACUCGAGUUUUGGUCCUGCAGCAGAGAUGACUACAUCCUGCAUCCCUAGCAAGGACAAAUUCAUGAUUGGCACUAGGGUGUGGGAAAAUGGGCCUCAGCUGCAUCUUAAGUUGUGGUACAUGCUGAAAGAUUCUAGCUUCUUAUACACUGUCUUCGGAUGACUAAUUUUUUGUCAACAGCCAUAGCAGUUGAAGUGGUUCUCGACUUGACGACCAGAGUAGCAUAUAUUUUUCCGUGUAAAUGGCAGCAAAUGGGUGAAGAAAACUAGCAGAAUCAGACCUCCGCAUAUGAUGUCACCACAUAGCUGGGUAAGUGAUGAAGAUAUGUUAGGCGCCUUUUGAUGAAGCAGGAUUCGCUUCUUCUUCGUCUUCUUCCUUUUUUUCAGUUUGCCUUACCGAAUCCACCUUUUCCAAGUGGGUAGAGAUUUGAUCUUGAUGACCCAAGAAUGUUGGACGUUCUUGGUUUUAUGAGCUCUUGUAUGAACAAAUGACUUAGCUGCUUAACUUGUGAAGUUUCUCGCCACACGAUCAUUCAAGUGCAAUGUGCUGGAGACUUUAGUUACUCUCAAAAGGCUAAAUUUCAUGCC
Rhodamnia argentea is the source of this 2188-nucleotide RNA transcript. It is a transcript of the gene named peptide chain release factor PrfB2, chloroplastic, with no coding region annotated. The record is from RefSeq and is a predicted model, not a curated record. Lineage: Eukaryota; Viridiplantae; Streptophyta; Magnoliopsida; Myrtales; Myrtaceae. The transcript has 8 exons.